Molecule: non-coding RNA, 88 nt
Organism: Salmo salar (Atlantic salmon)
Lineage: Eukaryota; Metazoa; Chordata; Actinopteri; Salmoniformes; Salmonidae
Source: Rfam
CCCUUUGGCUCAGUUGGUAGAGCAUGGUGUUUGCAAUGCCAGCAUGGUGUGUGCAAUGCCAGGGUUGUGGGUUCAAUUCCCACGAGGG